Long non-coding RNA from Aphis gossypii (cotton aphid), 698 nucleotides. RefSeq lists it as uncharacterized. The record is from RefSeq and is a predicted model, not a curated record. The transcript is spliced from 2 exons. NCBI's taxonomy places the organism in Eukaryota, Metazoa, Arthropoda, Insecta, Hemiptera, Aphididae.
UAGUCAAUUUGAUGAGCAUUCAGUUCCUGGUUCAAGUACCCAAAGUUCUCAAACUGUAUUAGUAUAUGAUAGUCCAGCUUCUAGCUCACUAAAAUGAACUCCUGCUCGAAAAAAAUUAUUUGAUAAUGAAAGUUCACCACUGAAACGUAGCCCUAUUUUGUCUUCUCCUCCAAACUUAACAAAAAAACGUAAAUUCUUUAAUGCCCACAAUAUUGGUAAUAUAAAUGUUGAUCAUUUUUGCACACCCAGAAGAGCAGAAAGACAUUUAACAAUGGUAAAGCAAAAAUGUUCUGAAAAACAAAUUAAAACAAAUAAAUUGUAAAUACAGGUAAACAGUCUUCAAAAUAAACUCAACUCAUAUGAAGAUUUAAUUGAAUCAUUAAAGGAUAACCAAUUGUUAUCAGAAAAUGCAGCUAAUCAACUUCAGGUUUGUAUUCCAUAGUCAUGUAUUUGUUUUAAGCUUAUUCAAUAUUAUUAAAAUAGGGUCUUUAAUAUUUUUAAAUAAUAAUUGUGAAUUAUGGCUUUCUUUUAAAUCUAAUUACUAUAUUACUACUUGUUUUUAUAUGAUUUUUUUUAUAUUUUAACAAACUUAACGACCACUAAACAUGAAGUGAACUAAUUGUGAAGUUAUUGAACCGGUAUAGUUAAAAGGUUAUUUGUUAUAUUUGUUUACCUGUAAUAAAAAUGUCUUAAGAUUU